RNAcentral lists this ribosomal RNA (503 nucleotides) under uncultured Glomus. RNAcentral describes it as "SSU rRNA". It matches the Rfam family "Eukaryotic small subunit ribosomal RNA", at positions 569 to 1077 of the family's 1831-position model. Lineage: Eukaryota; Fungi; Glomeromycota; Glomeromycetes; Glomerales; Glomeraceae. The record is from RNAcentral.
AGCAGCCGCGGUAAUUCCAGCUCCAAUAGCGUAUAUUAAAGUUGUUGCAGGUAAAAAGCUCGUAGUUGAAUUUCGGGGUCAGUAGGUUGGUCAUGCCACUGGUAUGUACUGGCCUCACUGAUUCCUCCUUCCUGAUGAGCCGUAAUGCCAUUAAUUUGGUGUUGCGAGGAAUCUGGACUGUUACUUUGAAAAAUUAGAGUGUUUAAAGCAGGCUAACGCUUGAAUACAUUAGCAUGGAAUAAUGAAAUAGGACGUUCGAUCUUAUUUUGUUGGUUCUAAGAUUGACGUAAUGAUUAAUAGGGAUAGUUGGGGGCAUUAGUAUUCAAUUGUCAGAGGUGAAAUUCUUGGAUUUAUUGAAGACUAACUACUGCGAAAGCAUUUGCCAAGGAUGUUUUCAUUAAUCAAGAACGAAAGUUAGGGGAUCGAAGACGAUCAGAUACCGUCGUAGUCUUAACCAUAAACUAUGGCCGACUAGGGAUCGAAUGAUGUUAAUUUUUUAAUGA